RNAcentral lists this unclassified non-coding RNA (200 nucleotides) under soil metagenome. RNAcentral's name for it is "partial contains internal transcribed spacer 2 and large subunit ribosomal RNA". The record is from RNAcentral.
AUGCCUGUUCGAGCGUCAUUAUGACACUCAAGCUUAGCUUGGUAUUGGGGUUCGCGGUCUCGCGGCCUUAAAUCAGUGGCGGUGCCAUCUGGCUCUAAGCGUAGUAAUUUAUCUCGCUAUUGGGUCCGGUGGUUGCUUGCCAAUAACCCCCAACUUCUAAGGUUGACCUCGGAUCAGGUAGGGAUACCCGCUGAACUUAA